AAAAGAAACUAACAAGGAUUCCCCUAGUAACUGCGAGUGAAGCGGGAAGAGCUCAAAUUUGAAAUCUGGCGGUUCUGCCGUCCGAGUUGUAAUCUGGAGAAGCGUUUUCCGUGCCGGACCGUGUACAAGUCCCUUGGAACAGGGCGUCAUAGAGGGUGAGAAUCCCGUCUUUGACACGGACUCCCGGUGCUCUGCGAUGCGCUCUCGAAGAGUCGAGUUGUUUGGGAAUGCAGCUCAAAAUGGGUGGUAAAUUCCAUCUAAAGCUAAAUAUUGGCGAGAGACCGAUAGCGAACAAGUACCGUGAGGGAAAGAUGAAAAGCACUUUGGAAAGAGAGUAAAACAGUACGUGAAAUUGUUGAAAGGGAAACGCUUGAAGUCAGUCGCGUCUUCUGGAACUCAGCCUUGCUUCUGCUUGGUGCACUUUCCAGUUUGACGGGUCAGCAUCGGCUCUGGGGGGCGGACAAAGGCGCGGGGAAGGUGGCAGCUCCGGCUGUGUUAUAGCCCCGCGUUGUACACGUCCUCCGGGACCGAGGAAUCCGGCGCUCGUCGCCCGGGAUGCUGGCGUAAUGGCUUCAAACGACCCGUC
RNAcentral lists this ribosomal RNA (586 nucleotides) under Subulicystidium brachysporum. RNAcentral describes it as "LSU rRNA". It matches the Rfam family "Eukaryotic large subunit ribosomal RNA", at positions 57 to 653 of the family's 3401-position model. The record is from RNAcentral. Lineage: Eukaryota; Fungi; Basidiomycota; Agaricomycetes; Trechisporales; Hydnodontaceae.